UUGAAUGACAGACGCAUGGGACCAUGAGGAACCUCAGCUUGCUCCUCUUAUGGGGGUGUUGUGGUUUAUGCAGCUCACAUUUUUUCUCAAUAGAAUCAACGACAACUGAUAUUGAUGAGUGCCUUCACAUGUGUCUUUCCAACGUGACAUGCACCAACA
Long non-coding RNA from Hyaena hyaena (striped hyena), 159 nucleotides. RefSeq lists it as uncharacterized. NCBI's taxonomy places the organism in Eukaryota, Metazoa, Chordata, Mammalia, Carnivora, Hyaenidae. The transcript has 3 exons. The record is from RefSeq and is a predicted model, not a curated record.